Episyrphus balteatus (marmalade hoverfly) is the source of this 958-nucleotide long non-coding RNA. RefSeq lists it as uncharacterized. Lineage: Eukaryota; Metazoa; Arthropoda; Insecta; Diptera; Syrphidae. The transcript is spliced from 3 exons. The record is from RefSeq and is a predicted model, not a curated record.
AAAUCAAAGUUGCUAUGAAAUUUUAAAAUUUCAACGUCAAUGGAAAAUUUUUCGUUUCAAAUAAAAAAAUUUCAAUCGAGGAAUGCUGUGGAAAUUUCAAACGAAAUGAAGGAAAAAAACGAUUUUAAUCGAGCGAAAUAAGCAACAUCGAAUUGCGAAGCUGCGGAAGAAAAUCAAUUUAAAUUCAAAAUGCAAGAUAUUAAAAAUAUAUAUGAAAAUGUGCUGAAAAUGGCAACAAAAUGCUGCAGCAGAUUUCGAAUCAAGCGAAUCAACCACUGUAAAGGUAAUAAUGUAUAUUAUUAUAAAAAUACAUUUGACAGGAUUCGCGGUGUUCGACACCUUAUAACUUUUGAUCCCCAAAGGGCUUUUGACAAUUCAAAGACAUUCCACGACAGACCAGCAUAUCUCGUCUUUGCUCACGUUAAUCGAAAAGUCCGAUUUAACCUGAGCUGAGAUGAUGAAGAAGCAUCGAUUCUGUCAUGGAAGCACUUGACAAUGGUGGCAUCAACACCAUUUUCAGGAUGUCUCCUUGGCAGAUGAGAGGUUUUUUUUUUAAUUUCUAUUUAUUUCUUUUCUUUUCAGGUUUUGGCGUUAGGCACAACAGUUGGGUUUAUCAGUUGGGUAAUGUUGUAUCCUUACAAGAAGCGAGGGGUAGACAUUAACUAGCUGAUAAGCCGGAUUGUUGUGCCUGGGUACGAUUGUUGGGCUCGUCAGUUAGAGGGUGUUGUAUCCUUCCAAGAAGUGAAGGGUAGACACAAUCUGGCUGAUGAGCCCAACUUUCGUGCCCAAGGAUGAGCGAAGGGUUGAAAAAAUCUGGCUGGCAAGCCCCACUUUUGUGCCCAAGGACGAGACGGGUGAGCCCAAAGGAUGUGGUGUCUGCUUUAUAAAUUCUUCAUAACAAAUCUUGACAAUUCUUUAUAAUAAAAUUUGCUUCGAUUUGUGGCAUUUUUGUACUUCA